UUGGAGGGCAAGUCUGGUGCCAGCAGCCGCGGUAAUUCCAGCUCCAAUAGCGUAUAUUAAAGUUGUUGCAGUUAAAAAGCUCGUAGUUGAAUUUCGGGAUUGACGUGAUGGUCAUGCCUUAAGGGGUAUGAACUGUUACUGUUGAUUUCUCACCUUCUGGAGAAACUUGAUGUCCUUUAUUGGGUGUCUUGCGGAUCCAGGACCUUUACCUUGAAAAAAUUAGAGUGUUUAAAGCAGGCAUUUUUGCUCGAAUACAUUAGCAUGGAAUAAUAGAAUAGGACGGCAUGGUUCUAUUUUGUUGGUUUCUAGGAUCACCGUAAUGAUUAAUAGGGAUAGUUGGGGGCAUUAGUAUUCAAUUGUCAGAGGUGAAAUUCUUGGAUUUAUUGAAGACUAACUACUGCGAAAGCAUUUGCCAAGGAUGUUUUCAUUAAUCAAGAACGAAAGUUAGGGGAUCGAAGACGAUCAGAUACCGUCGUAGUCUUAACCAUAAACUAUGCCGACUAGGAAUCAGACGAUGUUAAUUUUUUAAUGUCACGUUUGGCACCUUACGGGAAACCAAAGUGUUUGGGUUC
RNAcentral lists this ribosomal RNA (572 nucleotides) under uncultured Glomeromycotina. Its description in RNAcentral is "SSU rRNA". It matches the Rfam family "Eukaryotic small subunit ribosomal RNA", at positions 548 to 1114 of the family's 1831-position model. The record is from RNAcentral. Lineage: Eukaryota; Fungi; Glomeromycota.